Molecule: ribosomal RNA, 499 nt
Filed under: uncultured bacterium
Lineage: Bacteria
Description: bacterial SSU rRNA
Rfam family: Bacterial small subunit ribosomal RNA
Source: RNAcentral
UCAGGAUGAACGCUAGCUACAGGCUUACACAUGCAAGUCGAGGGGAAACGAUGGAGAAGCUUGCUUUUCCAGGCGUCGACCGGCGCACGGGUGAGUAACACGUAUCCAACCUUCCCAUCACCCGGGGAAGUAACCUUGCGAAAGCAAGCCUAAUGCCCCAUGCGGUCCGCCGACGGCAUCAGAAACGGACCAAAGGCUCCGGCCGGUGAUGGAUGGGGAUGCGCCUGAUUAGGCAGUAGGCGGGGCAACGGCCCACCUAGCCGACGAUCAGUAGGGGUUCUGAGAGGAAGGUCCCCCACAUUGGAACUGAGACACGGUCCAAACUCCUACGGGAGGCAGCAGUGAGGAAUAUUGGUCAAUGGGCGAGAGCCUGAACCAGCCAAGUAGCGUGAGGGAAGACUGCCCUAUGGGUUGUAAACCUCUUUUGCGCGGGGAUAAAGUGGGUGACGUGUCGCCCAUUGCAGGUACCGCGCGAAUAAGGACCGGCUAAUUCCGUGCC